ACAUCUCAACCCUCCAAUGUUUUUGCAUUGAAGGUGUUGGUAGUGAGCUCUGCCGGACUUUUGGUCGGCUCGUUUUAAAAUCAUUAGCUGGAUCCAUUCUGACCUGGUUCUACUCGGCGUAAUAAGUUAUUACCGUCGAGGACGCUUGUCUUUCUAGGCAGGCGGCCACAGUAAGGGUGUUUGAACCGCUUCCAACACGUCUUGCUCUUGUAGCAAACACUUGAAC
Molecule: unclassified non-coding RNA, 226 nt
Filed under: uncultured Geminibasidium
Lineage: Eukaryota; Fungi; Basidiomycota; Geminibasidiomycetes; Geminibasidiales; Geminibasidiaceae
Description: sequence contains ITS2
Source: RNAcentral